Molecule: ribosomal RNA, 1508 nt
Filed under: Tintelnotia destructans
Lineage: Eukaryota; Fungi; Ascomycota; Dothideomycetes; Pleosporales; Phaeosphaeriaceae
Description: eukaryotic LSU rRNA
Rfam family: Eukaryotic large subunit ribosomal RNA (bases 158-1508)
Source: RNAcentral
CGUCAUUUGUACACUCAAGCUUUGCUUGGUGUUGGGUGCUUGUCCUUUUUGGACUCACCUUAAAAGUAUUGGCAGCCAGUGUAUGGUCUUGAAGCGCAGCACAAAUUGCGGUUCUCACCUUUAUCACUAGCAUCCAUCAAGGCUAUAUUAGCUCGCUUGACCUCGGAUCAGGUAGGGAUACCCGCUGAACUUAAGCAUAUCAAUAAGCGGAGGAAAAGAAACCAACAGGGAUUGCCCUAGUAACGGCGAGUGAAGCGGCAACAGCUCAAAUUUGAAAUCUGGCUCUUUCAGAGUCCGAGUUGUAAUUUGCAGAGGGCGCUUUGGCAUUGGCAGCGGUCUAAGUUCUUUGGAACAGGACGUCACAGAGGGUGAGAAUCCCGUAUGUGGUCGCUAGCCUUUGCUGUGUAAAGCCCCUUCGACGAGUCGAGUUGUUUGGGAAUGCAGCUCUAAAUGGGAGGUAAAUUUCUUCUAAAGCUAAAUACUGGCCAGAGACCGAUAGCGCACAAGUAGAGUGAUCGAAAGAUGAAAAGCACUUUGGAAAGAGAGUCAAAUAGCACGUGAAAUUGUUGAAAGGGAAGCGCUUGCAGCCAGACUUGCCUGUAGUUGCUUAUCCGGACUUUUGUCCGGUGCACUCUUCUGCGGGCAGGCCAGCAUCAGUUUGGGCGGUUGGAUAAAGGUCUCUAUCACGUACCUCUCUUCGGGGAGGCCUUAUAGGGGAGACGUCAUGCAACCAGCCUGGACUGAGGUCCGCGCAUCUGCUAGGAUGCUGGCGUAAUGGCUGUAAGCGGCCCGUCUUGAAACACGGACCAAGGAGUCUAACAUCUAUGCGAGUGUUUGGGUGUCAAGCCCAUACGCGUAAUGAAAGUGAACGGAGGUGGGAACCCUUUGGGUGCACCAUCGACCGAUCCUGAUGUCUUCGGAUGGAUUUGAGUAAGAGCAUGGCUGUUGGGACCCGAAAGAUGGUGAACUAUGCUUGAAUAGGGUGAAGCCAGAGGAAACUCUGGUGGAGGCUCGCAGCGGUUCUGACGUGCAAAUCGAUCGUCAAAUUUGGGCAUAGGGGCGAAAGACUAAUCGAACUAUCUAGUAGCUGGUUCCUGCCGAAGUUUCCCUCAGGAUAGCAGUAACGUAUUCAGUUUUAUGAGGUAAAGCGAAUGAUUAGAGGCCUGGGGGUUGAAACAACCUUCACCUAUUCUCAAACUUUAAAUAUGUAAGAAGUCCUUGUUACUUGAUUGAACGUGGACACUUGAAUGUACCGUUACUAGUGGGCCAUUUUUGGUAAGCAGAACUGGCGAUGCGGGAUGAACCGAACGCGGGGUUAAGGUGCCAGAAUAUACGCUCAUCAGACACCACAAAAGGUGUUAGUUCAUCUAGACAGCAGGACGGUGGCCAUGGAAGUCGGAAUCCGCUAAGGAGUGUGUAACAACUCACCUGCCGAAUGAACUAGCCCUGAAAAUGGAUGGCGCUCAAGCGUAUUACCCAUACCCCGCCGCCAGGGCAGAAUUUAUGCC